NNACGAACGCUGGCGGCGUGCCUAACACAUGCAAGUCGCACGGGACCCGCAAGGGUUCAGUGGCGGACGGGUGCGUAACACGUGAGGAACAUGCCUAUCGGCGGGGGAUAGCCGGCCCAACGGCCGGGUAAUACCGCGUACGCUCACCGGGGGGCAUCCCCUGGUGAGGAAAGCAGCAAUGCACCGAUAGAGUGCCUCGCGGCCUAUCAGCUAGUUGGUGAGGUAAUGGCUCACCAAGGCUACGACGGGUAGCUGGUCUGAGAGGAUGAUCAGCCACAUUGGGACUGAGACACGGCCCAGACUCCUACGGGAGGCAGCAGUGGGGAAUCUUGCGCAAUGGCCGAAAGGCUGACGCAGCGACGCCGCGUGUGGGAUGACGGCCUUCGGGUUGUAAACCACUGUCGGAAGGGACGAAUGGCCCGCAAGGGCAGUGACGGUACCUUCAAAGGAAGCACCGGCUAACUCCGUGCCAGCAGCCGCGGUAAUACGGAGGGUGCGAGCGUUGUCCGGAAUCACUGGGCGUAAAGGGCGCGUAGGCGGCCCGGUAAGUAGGGGGUGAAAUCUUGCGGCUUAACCGCAAGGCUGCCUUCUAGACUGCCAGGCUCGAGCACAGUAGAGGCAGGUGGAAUUCCCGGUGUAGCGGUGGAAUGCGUAGAGAUCGGGAAGAACAUCNNNGGCGAAGGCGGCCUGCUGGACUGUAGCUGACGCUCAUGNNCGAAAGCGUGGGUAGCAAACAGGAUUAGAUACCCUGGUAGUCCACGCCCUAAACGAUGCGAACUAGGUGUUGGGGAAGGAGACUUUCUUAGUACCGCAGCUAACGGAUGAAGUUCGCCGCCUGGGGAGUACGGUCGCAAGAUUAAAACUCAAAGGAAUUGACGGGGACCCGCACAAGCGGUGGAUGAUGUGGAUUAAUUCGAUGCAACGCGAAAAACCUUACCUACCCUUGACAUGCCAGGAACUUGGUAGAGAUACCUUGGUGCCCGAAAGGGAGCCUGGACACAGGUGCUGCAUGGCUGUCGUCAGCUCGUGUCGUGAGAUGUUGGGUUAAGUCCCGCAACGAGCGCAACCCUUGUCAUUAGUUGCCAUCAUUUAGUUGGGCACUCUAAUGAGACUGCCGGUGACAAACCGGAGGAAGGUGGGGAUGACGUCAAGUCCUCAUGGCCCUUAUGGGUAGGGCUUCACACGUCAUACAAUGGUCGGUACAGAGGGUUGCCAAGCCGCGAGGUGGAGCCAAUCCCAGAAAGCCGAUCGUAGUCCGGAUCGGAGUCUACAACUCGACUCCGUGAAGUCGGAAUCGCUAGUAAUCGUGGAUCAGCAUGCCACGGUGAAUACGUUCCCGGGUC
Molecule: ribosomal RNA, 1343 nt
Filed under: uncultured soil bacterium
Lineage: Bacteria
Description: bacterial SSU rRNA
Rfam family: Bacterial small subunit ribosomal RNA
Source: RNAcentral